UUAAUAAUUAAUAAUAAUAAUAAUUAUUAUUAUUAAUUAGAUAAUCGAUAUUAUUAACUUAUUAUUUAUAAUUAAUUACUAAUAAUAAUUAUUAUUUAUAAUUAAUUAUUAAUAAUUAAUUUAUUAUUUGUUUUUAAAUAAUAUUUUGAUGUUAAUUAAUUACAUAAUAUAAUUUUAAUUUCAAAUUAUAACUCUUAUUCCUCUUGGUCCAAUCUAACCAUCCAAACACUAUUUACCUUAUUCCUAGGAACAACCCAAUUUUCAUCCAAACACAAAAUUGGUCUAGUUCCUGUUUAUACCUGAACUUGUACCUAUCCCUGGAACUAGCAGUUCUUACUUAUACCCGAACCAAACACAGGUAGUUCUUGGCGUUAUCAUAUUAAAUUAUAUAAAAAAAUAAUUUCUCCAAAAUAUUAAACUAAUAUUUAACAAAAUAAGUUAAAAAAU
This 447-nucleotide long non-coding RNA is filed under the name Ananas comosus (pineapple). Its description in RNAcentral is "long non-coding RNA (ACOM_LNC026392)". Lineage: Eukaryota; Viridiplantae; Streptophyta; Magnoliopsida; Poales; Bromeliaceae. The record is from RNAcentral.